RNAcentral lists this ribosomal RNA (253 nucleotides) under uncultured bacterium. Its description in RNAcentral is "partial 16S ribosomal RNA". It matches the Rfam family "Bacterial small subunit ribosomal RNA", at positions 524 to 776 of the family's 1533-position model. The record is from RNAcentral.
UACAGAGGGGGCAAGCGUUGUUCGGAAUUACUGGGCGUAAAGGGCGCGUAGGCGGCCUUCUAAGUCGAACGUGAAAUCCCCGGGCUCAACCCGGGAACUGCGUCCGAUACUGGAAGGCUUGAAUCCGGGAGAGGGAUGCGGAAUUCCAGGUGGAGCGGUGAAAUGCGUAGAUAUCGCUUGGAACGCCAAAGGUGAAAACAGGUUGCUGGGGUUGUGCCGACGCUGAGACACGAAAGCCAGGGGAGCAAACGGG